AAGAAAUAAAACCACUGAACAAAAUUCAAGAAAAACCCUGCAACUGUUCUUCUCGAAAAAAAUUCAAAAUCGUCUGAAUUUGAUCCUUCAAAAACCUCGAUUUCUUGCUCAUUCCCGAAGAAAAACUGUUCCUCUGUAUAGAUAUGUCAAAUUCCCCAAUUCAAGAACCAUCAAUCGACGACUCUAACAACGCUGAAGAACCAGACAAAGAAAACCCAAAUUCAGAGCUUCAAUCGCAACCCCAAAUCUUAGAACCCCUUAAUCCUCAAAACCAAGAGAAUCCCAUCUCCAGUUUGCGAAAACAUGAGACCCCAGAUGUGAUUCUUGAAGAAAAAGACCUAGAAAAAGAAAACCCUCAAGUUGUUACGGCUGAUGUAAAUGCUGAUUUUGGUUUAACUGUGGAUCUACCAAUUGCAGAUACAGAGGUAAGUGUUACUGACCUUCGAAUGAUGUCGCCUAGUAAUACUAUCAAGCGUACUAAGCGGAAGAAGG
This 492-nucleotide unclassified non-coding RNA is filed under the name Hevea brasiliensis (rubber tree). Lineage: Eukaryota; Viridiplantae; Streptophyta; Magnoliopsida; Malpighiales; Euphorbiaceae. The record is from RNAcentral.